AUGAAGAAGAAUAAGAUUGGGAGAAACGGACGCGCUCUAGAUUGGGAGAAGAUGAAGACAACUGGAGAAGCAAAGAAGGGAACGGCAAAACAAGACGACGAAAAACGAAGGAGGUUUGAAGCGUGGAAAGACCAGAGGAGGAACCUGAUGGCAUCUCCACUAGGGUCGCCGGGAAGCCCACCAGAAGCACUUUUUCAGCGCCGGCAGUCAAAAACGGUCCCAGUCACGUCUUCACGGACUCGUUUUUCGCCGGUAUUAGCUAAAACUACGGCCGGCGCUGGCAAGAGAAACCCACAAAGCUGGGGGGUCAGCCGGGGGCGCCCGCACUAUCUUUUGCAUGCGAAAACCCCACACGUCGGCGUCUGUCCCCACAUCUCUCUCUCUCUCCCCCGUCGCUUUCUCCGCCCCCACCUCCCCUCGCCCCGUCCACUUUUUUCUCUCUCAACGAGCUCGUCGCGGCAGGGCAUGGUCGACAUCGAGCUCGGGCACGGCAGGUGCGUCGCUGCCGCCACCGCGGAGCUCGACGAGGCCGUCCUGGCCACGUGCCCGACGACGGCCCUCUGGAGCUACACCCGCGCCACCAUGCCCGACGGCAAGGGCAGGACGGUGAGGGCAGGACGGCGAGGGAAGUGCAGGACGGUGAGGGCAGGACGGCGAGGGAGGUCGAGGGAGGUGCAGGACGGCGAGGGCAAGGCGCGAGCAGGCCACGGAGGGCGCGCGCGGGCAGGCCCCUUCCUCCUCCUCCCUCCUCUCCGUCCUCGCGCCCCCCUUCCUUCUCCUUCCUCCUCCCUCCUCUCCUCGCUCGUUGACCUCGCGGGCGGUGUGGCUGCUGCACAUGUCGUGCCAAGGAGGGAUGGUGGUACGCGGCGGCGAGGCCCGUGCCAAGGAGUGUGCGCCGGACGGUGGCAGGCGUCCUCGAUGGUGCUGGAGACGGUGUCGAGCUGCGGUGCCGCCACGCGUCCUCGAAAUGCGUCUUGGGUGGGGGGACGGCUCGGAAAAAUUUUGUCCCAGGGUCAAAAUCUUCGCCGGCAGCCCCCCAGGCGGCGAAAAAAACGCCUCCUGGGGAGGCCAACGGCUGGAGAUGCCAUGAGGCGUGUGCGUUGGUAUGUGUCCGACUACUGGAGCGGGCUUGAAAGAGCCAAUGUCGUAUGUGCUAGGUUGGCAAAUCUGAGGGAGGGUUAUGCAAACACCAAAUUCUUCCACCGUCGCAUCAAUGCCGGUAGGCGAAAAAACCACAUUCACCGGUUGAAGCAUGCACAGGGUUGGGUGACUGAGCACAAGGAAAAAGAAAAGAUCAUCCACGACCACUUCUCCGAGGUCAUGGGGCGGACAUGCACGAUUUGGCAACUAAAGAAGGUGGAUUUCCAAUACCUUAAGGAUAAGGGGGCCAGAAAACUGGUUACCUGGGAGGGCCAAAACAUCACUACCAUUGGUCAUACGACACUUCUUAGGUCGGUCAUCUCCUCCCAAGUAGUGUUCUCCAUCACGCCCUUCAUCGUGCCUCAGGGCUCUCUCAAUAGCCUAAACAAGAUUGAGAGGGCCUUUCUUUGGUCAGGUGCGGACAAGACAACGGGAGUCAAAUGCAAGGUCAACUGGAAGGUGGUUUGUAGACCAUAA
This 1617-nucleotide ribosomal RNA is filed under the name Triticum aestivum (bread wheat). Its description in RNAcentral is "partial small subunit ribosomal RNA". Lineage: Eukaryota; Viridiplantae; Streptophyta; Magnoliopsida; Poales; Poaceae. The record is from RNAcentral.